Molecule: ribosomal RNA, 855 nt
Filed under: Triticum aestivum (bread wheat)
Lineage: Eukaryota; Viridiplantae; Streptophyta; Magnoliopsida; Poales; Poaceae
Description: partial small subunit ribosomal RNA
Source: RNAcentral
AUGGCUCGUGCUGUUGUUCCGUUAAAUUUUAAUGCGUUCCUUGAGAAAGCAAUGAUGAAAUAUGAUGGUAGCAAUUACACGGACUGGGUCCGUAACCUGAGGAUUAUCCUCAUUGCUGCACAGAAGAAUUACGUCCUGGAAGCACCGCUGGGUGCCAGGCCUGCUGCUGAUGCAACUGACGACGUUAAGAACGUCUGGCAGUGCAAAGCUGAUGACUACUCGAUAGUUCAGUGUGCCAUGCUUUACGGCUUGGAACCGGGUCUUCAACGACGUUUUGAACGUCAUGGAGCAUAUGAGAUGUUCCAGGAGUUGAAGUUAAUAUUUCAAGCAAAUGCCCGGAUUGAGAGAUAUGAAGUCUCCAAUAAGUUCUAUAGCUGCAAGAUGGAGGAGAAUAGUUCUGUCAGUGAACACAUACUCAAAAUGUCUGGGUAUAAUAAUCACUUGAUUCAACUGGGAGUUAAUCUUCCUGAUGAUAGUGUCAUUGACAGAAUUCUUCAAUCACUGCCACCAAGCUACAAGAGCUUCGUGAUGAACUAUAACAUGCAAGGGAUGGACAAAACUAUUCCCGAGCUCUUCGCAAUGCUAAAAGCCGCGGAGGUAGAAAUCAAGAAGGAGCAUCAAGUGUUGAUGGUUAACAAGACCACCAGUUUCAAGAAAAAGGGCAAAGGGAAGAAGAAGGGGAACUUCAAGAAGAACAACAAACAAGUUGCUGCUCAAGUGAAGAAACCCAAGUCUGGACCUAAGCCUGAAACUGAGUGCUUCUACUGCAAGCAGACUGGACACUGGAAGCAGAACUGCCCCAAGUAUUUGGCGGAUAAGAAGGAUGGCAAAGUGAACAAAGGGACUACGGAUUAA